UAUUAAAUUUAAAAGUGUCCUAAAUAUUCAAAAUUAAUCAAAUAGUAUGAAGAAUGAAUGAUUUACAAGUUAUUAAAUUUAAAAUAAAUUUGCAUAAUGACAAAAUUAGCCCCUAACGUUUGGGUGUUGGGUCACUUUGGCCUUUAAGGUUUUUUUUGGAGCACUUUCAUACAUAACCUUUGUUUUUUUGGUCAAAAUAGUCAUUUUUAACGGUCUUGCUGAGGUGGUCAUUAAGGGACUAACGGCAUUGAUGUGGAAAUUUUUUUCCCACCUAGGCGCUACAUGUAUGUAGAUGCUGAUGUGGCAUAUAAGACAAAAUAAUACCAUGUCAGCAAAUGAAUUUAAACUUAAAAAAUAAUUAAAAUAAAAAAAAAACAUUUAGAAAAAUUUUGGGGUUUACUCACAAUUAAAAAAAUUAAAACAAGUUAAACAUUAACUAGUAAAGAGAAGCUUGAUCGAUCAUAACAAAAAACUGAAGCCUAACUUUUGAAUCAGUUAAUCAAAACAAAAUAUUAGAACCCUAACAUGAGAAGGAAAAAAAAUAUUAGGGUAUAUUUUUUAUAAUUUUCACUUUCAAACUAUUAUAUAUGUUAUUUUGGUUAAUGUUUAGGGUUCUUGGGUUGGGGAUUUUGGUUUAGGUUUUAAAACUUUGGGGAUUUUCAGGGAUUUUCAGGUUAUGAGAUUGUUGAUUUUGGGGAUUUGCGGGUUUAAGGUUCAUUUAUAACGUGUUUUCUCUUAGCUCUUUUGCGGUGAAGAAUGGUGAAGGUUCAUACUCCAAAUCAUAGAGAAGAAAAGUUCCUUUUGCUAAGAAGUUUUUCUGCCUACUUUGCCAAACUAGAGAUCCCAUCUUUUGCAGGUUCAACAUUUGCAAUGUUGUAGUUUCAUUGAGUUCUGCAUCUUUGGUACAAACAAUUUUCCAAGGACUUUGCUAAUGUAUUUGACAAAUAUACCUUAUUCCUUCACCAAUUAUUUCCUUACCAUCCUUUGUAACUUUAAGUUCAAGAGCAUUGUUAUAAACCAUAACCUCCGGUAUGUAGUCUUCAACAUGUCCUUUUUGAAGAAGAAGCUUUAUGUUUAAUAUGUUUGCUGGUUGCUGUU
Molecule: long non-coding RNA, 1098 nt
Organism: Gossypium raimondii (Peruvian cotton)
Lineage: Eukaryota; Viridiplantae; Streptophyta; Magnoliopsida; Malvales; Malvaceae
Exons: 2
Source: RefSeq, a predicted model, not a curated record